RNAcentral lists this ribosomal RNA (253 nucleotides) under uncultured bacterium. Its description in RNAcentral is "partial 16S ribosomal RNA". It matches the Rfam family "Bacterial small subunit ribosomal RNA", at positions 524 to 776 of the family's 1533-position model. The record is from RNAcentral.
GACGUAGGGCGCGAGCGUUGUCCGGAUUUAUUGGGCGUAAAGCGCGUGUAGGCGGCUUUGCAAGUCGGGUGUGAAAGCCCUCGGCUCAACCGAGGAAGUGCGCCCGAAACUGCAGAGCUUGAGUACCGGAGAGGAUGGCGGAAUUCCCCAAGUAGAGGUGAAAUUCGUAGAUAUGGGGAGGAACACCGGUGGCGAAGGCGGCCAUCUGGACGGAUACUGACGCUGAGACGCGAAAGCGUGGGGAGCAAACAGG